CUUGAUCGAGCCGAGCCACAACGGCCGGCCCUCCGGCCGCUCCUGGCCAUACGUGGCCAGCAGGGCCUGCGCCUC
Molecule: non-coding RNA, 75 nt
Organism: Streptomyces sp.
Lineage: Bacteria; Bacillati; Actinomycetota; Actinomycetes; Kitasatosporales; Streptomycetaceae
Rfam family: ASpks TB sRNA
Source: Rfam